This 497-nucleotide ribosomal RNA is filed under the name uncultured bacterium. RNAcentral describes it as "partial 16S ribosomal RNA". It matches the Rfam family "Bacterial small subunit ribosomal RNA", at positions 28 to 507 of the family's 1533-position model. The record is from RNAcentral.
GACGAACGCUGGCGGCGUGCCUAAUACAUGCAAGUUGAGCGCUGAAGGUUGGUACUUGUACCAACUGGAUGAGCAGCGAACGGGUGAGUAACGCGUGGGGAAUCUGCCUUUGAGCGGGGGACAACAUUUGGAAACGAAUGCUAAUACCGCAUAAAAACUUUAAACACAAGUUUUAAGUUUGAAAGAUGCAAUUGCAUCACUCAAAGAUGAUCCCGCGUUGUAUUAGCUAGUUGGUGAGGUAAAGGCUCACCAAGGCGAUGAUACAUAGCCGACCUGAGAGGGUGAUCGGCCACAUUGGGACUGAGACACGGCCCAAACUCCUACGGGAGGAAGCAGUAGGGAAUCUUCGGCAAUGGACGAAAGUCUGACCGAGCAACGCCGCGUGAGUGAAGAAGGUUGUCGGAUCGUAAAACUCUGUUGGUAGAGAAGAACGUUGGUGAGAGUGGAAAGCUCAUCAAGUGACGGUAACUACCCAGAAAGGGACGGCUAACUACGUG